Phalaenopsis equestris is the source of this 448-nucleotide long non-coding RNA. RefSeq lists it as uncharacterized. The transcript is spliced from 2 exons. The record is from RefSeq and is a predicted model, not a curated record. NCBI's taxonomy places the organism in Eukaryota, Viridiplantae, Streptophyta, Magnoliopsida, Asparagales, Orchidaceae.
CUGUUUGGUAUGGUAAGAGAGAGAACUGAAUGCGUGGAAGAUAGAGGGGGAUGGUGGCAAGCAGGAGGUUGUUGGGGAACGUGUAAUGACCCUGUACACUUCUUAUGACGGCCAGCUUGCAUGGAAAGUAUUGUUGUGGUCCGCUGGAACCGGUUAGGAACGAGGAAUAAUAUCUUUUAUCUUCUUUAGAAGAGCCUGGACUGCGAAAGGCAUUUGGCGGCGAGGUUUUACAAUUAAGACGUGCAGGUGCAUUGGAACUCCUUCAUCAUUAUGCAAAUGGAAAAAUUAUUGUGUAGUAAGAAAGAUAAAUCAGUAUACAAAAGCAGACGGAGAGACUAGGUCACAUAUAAGUGAAUUAUGAUGAUAUCAUCUUCUUAAUGAUCCUUUUCUGUACAUACAUGACAAUUUCUAGUGUAAAUGAGAAGGAAUUACGACAAGGUUAUUAUUU